UUUUUUUUUUUUUUUUUUUGGUCUUUCGAGACAGGGUUUCUCUAUAUAGCCCUGGCUGUCCUGGAGCUCACUUUGUAGACCAGGCUGGCCUCGAACUCAGAAAUCCGCCUGCCUCUGCCUCCCGAGUGCUGGGAUCAAAGGCGUGCGCCACCACGCCCGGCCCCCUUCCCUCUUUUGCAUCCUCCCUGACUCCUGGAUUGAAGAGAAUGAACGGGAGCUAGAAGUCAUGCAGGGCUGUUCCUGGGGCGCAGGGCAGUGAUUGUUCGUGGGUGACAUAAAUCUCUUUAAGGACACAGAGCUGCGUCUAGACUGUGUGCUCUCCACUGACCGGUCUCUCACCGUCAUGGGUCACUUUCUUGGAUUUUUGCUGCAUUUGAGCUUUACACAGUUUUCCUCCCUCACCCCUCUCUCUGAGACAGUCUCAUGUAUCACAGGUGAGCCUUGUAUUCAAGAUGUCGUUGAAGAUGACCUUGAACUGCUGAUUCUCCUGCCUCCACCUCCCAAGUUUUGAGAUUACAGGCUAGCCCGACUCCAUGUGGGGUUGUGGGGUCCUAGGUGGCUGUGGUCAGCUCAUGAAUGGUAUGUCAGGAGCUCCAGAGAGCGAGUCCGUGGGAGGUGAGCUGAGUGCUCCAGUGAACAGGCAUCCAAGCACAGAGGGCCAACGGAGCAAGACAGGACCCGGGCCUCGGCCCUCACCCUGCUCCACUGGAAGACUCUGGUGGCUGGUUGGGGCCCAGUAUGAGUGGGGCCCCCAUGAGUGUAUGGAGAAGGCCUACCCGGCGUGAAGCUUUCUGUCUCCACACCCAAGCUUAUACUUCAUCUGCUAUCACCUCCCUCCUCCUCUGUCCUUUGGGCCCAUUGCAGCACUCCUCUGUAGGCUCCAGGAGGUGCACAUGUGUUUUCAAUUGUAAAAACAAUGCAUGCUCAUAGCAAGCCUUCAAACUGUCCAGAAGGCACAGAAAAGAGAGCGGAAGCCCCACCUUCCUCCCACUCUCCUACCCACCUAGAGCUUUCUUAGUGGAUUCCCUGGAGGGUUUCGUUUUAACUGUAUGUCUCUGUGCUCUGCUCCACAUCAGCUCCCGUGGCCUGGGCCAGACCCAGAUCCACACAGCAUGCAUUGAAGAUGUUGCACAGGAUGGCUAUGGAGGGGAGGUGUGUGUGACAUACAGAGAGAGAGACAGAGAGAGAGUCAGAGAGAGAGAGAGACAGAGAGAGAGAGAGACAGAGAGAAUGAGAGACAGUGAGAGAAUGUGUGUAUGCACGUGUGUGAGUGUGUAUGUGUGUGUGUGUGAGAGAGAGUAUGUGUGUGUGUAUGUGAGUAUGUAUGUGUGUGUGAGAGAGACAGAGACAUAGAGACAGAGUGAGAGAGUAUGUAUAUGCACAUGUAUGAGUGUGUAUGUGUGUGAGAGAGUGAGAAUGUGUGAGUGUGUGUAUGUAUGUGUGUGAACGUGUGUGUGUGUGUGUGUGUGUGUGAAUGAGUAUGUGUGUGCCUCUCCUUCUUUCCCAAUGAGGUUCCUCCCAGCAGCUGAAUCUUCCCUGUAUGACAUUCUGUUAACAUUAUUACAAGUUAAAUUCAGGACGGAAUGUGACAGCAUAUAUGUAUAAUUCCAGAACUGGGGAAGUGGAGGCAGGAGGAUUAAGAAGAGUUCAAGAGCAUCUUUGACUACUUGUUGAGUUUGAGACUAACCUGGGUUACAUAGGACUCUGCCUCAAAACAUCAGGUCAAAUUAAAACAAAACAAAAGAAAUAAAAAAAUCAACUUGAAUUCAAAGCUGCAUAUAUAGAGUGGCGUAGGCCUGUUGUCCUCGGAAGGAGAGCAAGGCCAUUCUGGACUCCAGAAUGAAACUCUGUUUCAAAGAAAUAAAAUCCAUGAGUUCGGGUUCAACGUU
Long non-coding RNA from Mus musculus (house mouse), 1889 nucleotides. RefSeq annotates it as predicted gene, 53293. The transcript is spliced from 2 exons. The record is from RefSeq and is a predicted model, not a curated record. Lineage: Eukaryota; Metazoa; Chordata; Mammalia; Rodentia; Muridae.